This 465-nucleotide ribosomal RNA is filed under the name uncultured bacterium. RNAcentral describes it as "partial 16S ribosomal RNA". It matches the Rfam family "Bacterial small subunit ribosomal RNA", at positions 338 to 795 of the family's 1533-position model. The record is from RNAcentral.
CCUACGGGAGGCUGCAGUGGGGAAUAUUGCGCAAUGGGCGAAAGCCUGACGCAGCGACGCCGCGUGAGGGAUGAAGGUCUUCGGAUCGUAAACCUCUGUCAGCAGGGAAGAACGGUCACUGGGCGAAGCAGCAGGGAAGUGACGGUAGCUGCAAAGGAAGCAACGGCUAACUCCGUGCCAGCAGCCGCGGUAAUACGGAGGGUGCGAGCGGUAAUCGGAAUUACUGGGCGGAAAGCGCUCGUAGGCGGUAUGUCAAGGCAAGGGUGAAAUCCCCGCGCUCACCGUGGGAACUGCCUUUGAAACUGGCAACCUGGAGUGUGUGAGCGGAUAGUGGAAUUCCUGGUGUAGGCGUGACAUCCGUAGAUAUCUGGAGGAACAUCAGUUGCGAAGGCGACUCUCUGGCCCAUACCUGACGCUGAGGCGCGAAAGCGUGGGUAGCAAACAGGAUUAGAUACCCGAGUAGUC